RNAcentral lists this ribosomal RNA (479 nucleotides) under uncultured bacterium. Its description in RNAcentral is "bacterial SSU rRNA". It matches the Rfam family "Bacterial small subunit ribosomal RNA", at positions 28 to 507 of the family's 1533-position model. The record is from RNAcentral.
GACGAACGCUGGCGGCGUGGAUUAGGCAUGCAAGUCGAACGGUAUCAUCCUUUCGGGGGUGAGAGAGUGGCGAACUGGUGAGUAACACGUAGGUUAUCUACCCUCAAGACGGGGACAACCCAGGGAAACUUGGGCUAAUACCGGAUGUGAGCAACUUUUAGUUGUUUGAAAGGUGGCGUAAGCUGUCGCUUGGGGAUGAGCCUGCGUCCUAUUAGUUAGUUGGUGAGGUAACGGCUCACCUAGGCAAUGAUAGGUAGGCGGCCUUAACGGGUGGUCGCCCACACUGGGAUUGAGAUACGGCCCAGACUCCUACGGGAGGCAGCAGUGAGGAAUAUUGGUCAAUGGGCGCAAGCCUGAACCAGCCAUCCCGCGUGAAGGAAGAAUGCGCUACGCGUUGUAAACUUCUUUUCCAGGGGAGAAUAAUCCUGUCGUGACAGGACUUGACGGUACUCUGGGAAUAAGCAUCGGCUAACUCCGUG